AGGUCCAGCACUCUGCCGGGACUAUCCAGGCGCUUCAUGAUGCUGCUACGGGGCGGACGAAGCUUGCUUUCCUUCCCACUUUCUUCCCGCCCAGAAAGUUGACUAGAAUCGUGCAAAGGACCCGGGAUGAAUGCAAAAUGACAGCCUGAAGUAGGAUUAAUGACGCUUCCUUUGAUGUUAAUGGUGGAGUCUUUUGUCCCAUUUUUGUGACUCAAACGUUCAUCAAUCCGCAGUUAUUUGUCACUUCCCUGCAAGUCCUCUUAUGCAGCGUUAAAAUAUGUAAAUCGAAAGUUAUGUGUAGCAGAGUAAAUUUAAAAAGCAAUUAUUAAUAGCGAUAAAAAUAGAGAAAGAGGUUAUGAUCUGGCCCAACUGGUUUACAUAGGUAAAGAUAGGGGUGGGGGAGGUGAACUUAAAGAUCAAAUUGGCUAAUUAUGACUCGGGAAUGUAGACAGCAGCCCAUUCUAUAAAAUACAAGAGCUCCCUAAGGUGAGCAGUAGGGAUCAGCAGUAUUGGCCAAAAUGAAAAGAACCUAAGAAGAAGAAAGGCCCAAAAGACUAGUACUUCAGAGUUACUUCAGAGAGGAUUGACCUGUCGUCUGUUUCUGGUAUCAGGGUCCUACCAAUUGAUUAGUUUUGUUUUGUUUUUUUGUUUUGGUUAGAAGGAGCCAGGCAUUUCAAAAGCCAGUUUGAUUAAGUGAUAUAUUGAGCAUGAGAGACAGUUCUGGCCAGAUCUGAUCUUCCAGAGCUCUGAGGCAAAAGCCUAGUCCAAAAUGACUCUAUAAAUUACACUUAACAAAGUGUGUUUGCCAGUGUUCUCUGGAGGAACAGAACUGAUAAGAUGAAUACAUACAUAAAAAAUUUAUGAAACUAGCUUAAAGUAAUAACAGUUGUCUCACCCCAGAAGAACUAAACCCCUAGUAGCUGUUCCAUCCACGAGGCUGGUUACCUUGCCAGCCAGAGUAGUCCUAUAAUGGCUGUCUCACAUUGGAAAAAUGAACAGCCUGGUAGAGCGUCUGUCUACCAGGCUCAGUGCCACAGCAGUUCCUGUAUACCUGGAGAGUCCCUGGCCUUCAGCCAACAAUGGAAGUUUGGAAAUAAUAGUUUGGGUUUCACCAAAGACAGCAGCAGCAAGCAAGCUCAGCUGCCAGGGGAAGAUGGAAGACCAAGCAAGCUAAAGGGAUAUCAUACUCUCUCUACUCUGCUCCUGGGCCUAUUGGCAGAAAUGCUGCACGCGCUUAAGGUAGCUUCUUUGAUAUCAACAGAGACGAUGAGGACCAUGCGGCUCUCUGGUCAGUCGUUGCUGAUUUGUGGCAAGUUGUGGUGAAAACCAGCCACCACACUAAGAGAAACUAGACAGGAGUAUGUGUGAGUUCCACAGGUGAGCUCUGGAGUGAGAGCCUAGGCUUUGCACUGCUUUAGUGGGUCUGGUCAUCAGCUUUCUCCUGGGGCUUCCACUGUAGUACUUCCCAAGGUCUCCUCUCCCAUCCCCAAAAUUGACACCAUCUGGGCAAUUUCUAGAAGUGUAGAUGUAAAGGAGAAGCAACCGGGUGACUCCACUCUGAUUCCUUCUAUAAGCAAGUUGUUCCUCGACAGCCAGGAGCCUCCUCUCUGUUUAUAAAAUAAAGUAUGGUCCAAUACUAGAAUACAGAUGAAAGCCAACUCAGUUUCUGAGCACGUCUCAUCAUUUUCUGACACUUCAUCUUCUGAUAUUCCUGGGAUGGUUGUCAUUCUAUUGAAUUAAUAAACAAGACGGGGCUAGAGAGAUGGCUCAGUGAUGAAGAACACUGACUGCUCUUCCAGAGGACCUGGUUAGAUUUCCCAGCAUCCACAUGGCAACUCACAAACAUCUCUAACUCCAGAUCCAGGAAAUCGGCUGCCCUUUUCUGGCUGCUGCAGGCACCAGGCACACCCACAGUGCACAGAAAUAUGUAUAGGCGAAACACACCACCACUACCCCCAACACC
This 1963-nucleotide long non-coding RNA is filed under the name Mus musculus (house mouse). RNAcentral's name for it is "long non-coding RNA chr9:42264449-42266412". Lineage: Eukaryota; Metazoa; Chordata; Mammalia; Rodentia; Muridae. The record is from RNAcentral.